Molecule: ribosomal RNA, 449 nt
Filed under: uncultured bacterium
Lineage: Bacteria
Description: partial 16S ribosomal RNA
Rfam family: Bacterial small subunit ribosomal RNA
Source: RNAcentral
AACGAACGCUGGCGGCAGGCCUAACACAUGCAAGACGAACGCUGUAGCAAUACAGAGUGGCAGACGGGUGAGUAACACGUGGGAAUCUUCCUAUCGGUACGGAAUAGCUCAGGGAAACUUGAGGUAAUACCGCAUACGCCCUUCGGGGGAAAGAGUUAUCGCCGAUAGAUGAGCCCGCGUCUGAUUAGCUAGUUGGUGAGGUAAUGGCUCACCAAGGCGACGAUCAGUAGCUGGUCUGAGCGGAUGACCAGCCACACUGGGACUGAGACACGGCCCAGACUCCUACGGGAGGCAGCAGUGGGGAAUAUUGGACAAUGGGCGCAAGCCUGAUCCAGCCAUGCCGCGUGAGUGACGAAGGUCUUCGGAUUGUAAAGCUCUUUUGCCAGGGACGAUAAUGACGGUACCUGGAGAAUAAGCCCCGGCUAACUUCGUGCCAGCAGCCGCCGUAA